This 269-nucleotide ribosomal RNA is filed under the name uncultured archaeon. RNAcentral describes it as "partial 16S ribosomal RNA". It matches the Rfam family "Archaeal small subunit ribosomal RNA", at positions 477 to 746 of the family's 1478-position model. The record is from RNAcentral.
CAGCUCUCCGAGUGGUAGGGAUGAUUAUUGGGCCUAAAGCAUCCGUAGCCGGCUCUGUAAGUUUUCGGUUAAAUCUGUAUGCUCAACAUACAGGCUGCCGGGAAUACUGCAGAGCUAGGGAGUGGGAGAGGUAGACGGUACUCGGUAGGAAGGGGUAAAAUCCUUUGAUCUAUUGAUGACCACCUGUGGCGAAGGCGGUCUACCAGAACACGUCCGACGGUGAGGGAUGAAAGCUGGGGGAGCAAACCGGAUUAGAUACCCGAGUAGCC